UACGGAAGGGGCAAGCGUUGUUCGGAAUCAUUGGGCGUAAAGGGCGUGUAGGUGGUUCUGUAUGUCUGCCGUGAAAGCGUACGGCUCAACCGUAUUUAGUCGGUAGAAACUGCAGGACUUGAGGCUGGGAGGGGCUGGUGGAAUUCCCCGUGUAGCGGUGAAAUGCGUAGAGAUGGGGGAGAACACUCGUGGCGAAGGCGGCCAGCUAGACCAGUUCUGACACUGAGGCGCGACAGCGUGGGGAGCAAACAGG
This 253-nucleotide ribosomal RNA is filed under the name uncultured bacterium. Its description in RNAcentral is "partial 16S ribosomal RNA". It matches the Rfam family "Bacterial small subunit ribosomal RNA", at positions 524 to 776 of the family's 1533-position model. The record is from RNAcentral.